UGGUGGGGGAGCCCACACCGGCCCUCUGAGUGAACCCCCGGUGUCCAAGCAGGCGGCAGCAGCCCAGGGGCCCCAAGCCUUUUCCCGUCCCUGGUCCCUGAUCCCCCAGGCACCCCGCUCCUCCCUCCCUCCUCCUGAGUCUUCUGUGUCUCUCUCCGGGGACCCCUGUCCCUGGAACUCUGUCUGGGCCUGGGUUGUGUGGCUCCCACUGAAUCUCUGUUCUGUCACUGUGAUUCCACCUUCUCCGUGGCUGUUUUGUCUCUGGAUUCUAAACCUCACACGCUCUCUGUCUCCCUUGCCCCGCACACAUGCUUGUGUCUGUCUCCUGCCCACAUCUGCCCCAUUUCUCUCUGGGUCCCUGUGACUGGAUUUCUGUUUUUUGCCGUUGUCCAUCCCAAAAGCAAGAGAAACUUCCAGCCACUGCUGCCCAUCUUCCUGCAGAGGAUGUUCGGCCCCAGACCUUCCCGCAUGGUUCCAUCCAUCACUCAUGGCCCUCCUGGCCUCCAGCAGAGAAAGGAAGCCAGCCCACCCCCAGGGGAGAGCUCCAGCACCACCCCACACAUACACACACACUUGGCUGCCUCCCUGGAGCUCUGCCAGGCUGUUGGCAUCCCAGCUCUGGGCAUUGUCUGUGUGCUUCCCAGGCCCCAGCGGGAGGGGAGGGGAAGGAAAUGGGGAGGCAGCUGGGGAAGGGGAAAGAGGGAGGAUGGGGAGGAGCCUCCAUCUCUAAUUUCAUAAUAAACAAACACUUUAUUUUGUAAA
This is a long non-coding RNA of Myotis davidii, 762 nucleotides long. RefSeq lists it as uncharacterized. NCBI's taxonomy places the organism in Eukaryota, Metazoa, Chordata, Mammalia, Chiroptera, Vespertilionidae. The record is from RefSeq and is a predicted model, not a curated record. The transcript has 2 exons.